Hippocampus zosterae (dwarf seahorse) is the source of this 1134-nucleotide long non-coding RNA. RefSeq lists it as uncharacterized. The transcript has 2 exons. The record is from RefSeq and is a predicted model, not a curated record. Lineage: Eukaryota; Metazoa; Chordata; Actinopteri; Syngnathiformes; Syngnathidae.
UCACAGGGCACACAGAGACGAACAACCAUUCGCACUCACACUCACACCUAGGGACAAUUUAGAGCGUCCAAUCAGCCUGCCACGCAUGUUUUUGGAAUGUGGGAGGAAACCGGAGCACCCGGAGAAAACCCACGCAGGCCCGGGGAGAACAUGCAAACUCCACACAGGGAGGCCGGAGCUGGAAUCGAACCCGGUACCUCUGCACUGUGAAGCCGACGUGCUAACCACUGGACUACCGGGCCGCCUAUAUACAUGUUAGUGACCGCAUAUUAUUUUCAAAAUAUUUUCCACAGGAAUGUUCAAAUGCAAAAGUGUUUUGGUCAAGUGCAUGUUUUUCCCCUUUUUUUGUCUUUACGCAUGUCUUCUAUGUGCUGAGUUUGUUUUCAAGAGAAAUGUAGAUGAGUGCAUUCAUUUAAUGAGAAAAUAUUCAAAAGCUUCCUUUUAUUGCCAAUAUUUCUCUCAUGAAGCAAAAAAAAAAAGAUAAACGAUCAGUGGGCCUGAGCGCUUCACACUCAUUGUUCUGUGUAGUGAGAGCUAUCUGAAAUGUAGUAACCGUAGUUCACUUUACUAGACGUUCGUGACUUGAGUUUAUAUGGUACGGUACAUAUUGUUUUGAAAUGGGAUGGGACGAAUGUUGCACUGUGAGAGGAUAAUGAGAUGCCAUCUUAAAUGUGAUGUGACUGACGUUUGCAUUCGACUUGCAGUGUAAAAAAGAAUGUUUUCAUAAAACAACAUUACGUUAUUUUCUGGAAGAACCUUUGUACAUAUUGAGACACAUUGUGUAUUUGAUGGUUCAUUUUACUGUGACACAAAUGGCUAUGUGUAAUACGACCGUUGCAAUUCUCUUGCACAUUAAGCAUUUCAUUUCAGAUAAUGUAAUGCAGCCGGUAUCUGUGGGGAUGAGAAAGAACAAACCUGGGAGAUAUGAAAAGAUUCGAGUUUCUGCCGUAGAAGUUAAAAACCAAAGCAGAAUGUCCCCUGGUGACUGUUGACUAAAAUGUUAUUCUGGUUGUUUGAUGCUGUUGCACAUCUGAUUUGCAUAUGUUUGAGUUCAGAACACAACCGCACGGGAAACAGUUUGACUUUAGGUUAUGUUUUAAUGAGGAAAUAUUCAAGUAAACCUUUCCACUGGAA